Molecule: long non-coding RNA, 272 nt
Filed under: Mytilus galloprovincialis (Mediterranean mussel)
Lineage: Eukaryota; Metazoa; Mollusca; Bivalvia; Mytilida; Mytilidae
Source: RNAcentral
UCUUUGAGGAGUUCGUAGUUGGUCUACUGAAAGGCAAAGUUUCUGCUCCUAUCCAAUAAUCUCUCAUUUUCCAAUGCAUGGCAUUUUCAAAUUUCCAGACCUUCGUCCUGUACAACACCUAUUACAGGACUAAGCUCUCUGUUGUGUUUAUUGUAAAUAAUAAAUUUGUUGUUUUUUUUUGUUCUAAACUUGCAUAAAUAUUUUACACUGGAUGUUUAAAAAUCAAUCUAUCAACUAGCUUCCAGUAGUUUUGAGUACUCUCAGAUCUACGU